UAGCUGUUGGAAAGCUAUGCUUUUCAGUGGCGCAGCUAACGUUUUAAGUUGUCCGCCUGGGGAGUACGGCCGCAAGGUUAAAACUCAAAUGAAUUGACGGGGACCCGCACAAGCGGUGGAGCAUGUGGUUUAAUUCGAUGCAACGCGAAAAACCUUACCUACACUUGACAUACUUGGAAUCUUUUGUAAUGAAAGAGUGCCUUUUGGAGCCAAGAUACAGGUGCUGCAUGGCUGUCGUCAGCUCGUGUCGUGAGAUGUUGGGUUAAGUCCCAUAACGAGCGCAACCCUUACCCUUAUUUGCCAGCGAUUUGGUCGGGAACUAUAAGGGGACUGCCGGUGAUAAACCGGAGGAAGGUGAGGACGACGUCAAGUCAUCAUGGCCCUUACGUGUAGGGCUACACACGUGCUACAAUGGGGAGUACAGAUAGACGCUAAAGCGCGAGCCGGUGCUAAUCUCAUAAAACUCUUCGUAGUCCGGAUUGCAGUCUGCAACUCGACUGCAUGAAGUCGGAAUCGCUAGUAAUCGCGAAUCAGCAUGUCGCGGUGAAUACGUUCUCGGGUCUUGUACACACCGCCCGUCACACCAUGGGAGUGUAUUGCACCAGAAGUGGGUAGUCUAACCUUCGGGAGGGCGCUCACCACGGUGUGGUCCAUGACUGGGGUGAAGUCAUAACAAGGUAGCCGUA
RNAcentral lists this ribosomal RNA (686 nucleotides) under uncultured bacterium. RNAcentral's name for it is "bacterial SSU rRNA". It matches the Rfam family "Bacterial small subunit ribosomal RNA", at positions 817 to 1504 of the family's 1533-position model. The record is from RNAcentral.